AAUUAGGUUCUCUCCUCUGGCUCAGCAGGUCUGUUCUAGCCAUUUGACCAAAGGCUCUCUGAUAUUUUCUACCAGCCUUAGAACGACAGUCUGCAGAUGUGUGCACAUAAAUGUCUGGGAGGAGCACACAGAUACUGUGGGAGGAGUGGGUCCGGCGUAGCUAUUGGGAGAUCUCGCUCGUACACAUGGCGCUACAUAGAAAGAAUGCCCUGAGGUGAAGGUGACAGCUCGGCAGUUUCUUAAUACCCUGAACUUGAGCGUGGCCUGCGCUAGAGAAAAUACACGGUGCUUCUUAAAAACAAAAGCCAGCAGCCUGCAAGAGGGCUGUGCCUGCGAGUUCCUGGGAGCAGGAGGGGGCUGUUCCUCCGCCCCUGGCUCCAGUUUCACCCAAGUCACUUCACAGCAGUUGGAAGGAGGUCACCAAUUGCUGCGGCCACACCAACAGACGUCGUCCGGCCUUCUUCACACGCAACGAAGCGCCCAGGUGGAAAUGCAUGUACCCGCGGCAGCUUCUCGGCAGCGGGCUUCCUGGGACGGAAGACACAGGCUCGCCCGAGGGAGACGGAAGCAGGGGAUCUGCUAGAACUCAGCUCGCCUCCUCCUUUCUCAGCAGGGCAGAGAAUCAUGGGCUUGUGCUGACGAAAGCUCCAGAAAAUGGACUCAUUUAACCUUUCCAAAGAUAUUAUCCAAGCUGCAAAAUCUUGGCAAUCUGAAGACCUUUUAAGUCGAUAUACCAAAGAGCUUUAGUCAGGAUUGAAUGCAAAAUGCCAAAAUUUCACUUUUAAAAUCAUCGUAACAUCUAAAUACAACCUAAGCACACUUGUAAACUGAUGCCGAACAGGCACUUGGAGAGCCCUCCCUGCACCCCUUCCUCGCCCCCUCCUUUGUGCAAAUGCUGUUUGCCCAGAACUUCAGCCACUGAAAAUCCUGGGAACUUUCUCUUCCUGGCUGCCAACCUAGCAGUUUGGACUCACAGACGAGAUUUUUAAAUCACUGAGGGAUUUAAGCCUCUCUGUGUCACAGAAAAGCGAACACCCUCCCAGUUGAAGGUGGCCCCAAAGAUGCGGGCCUGGGACCCAGGACUUCUGCAGGAGAGUGGACGCCUGGGUGCCCCCCGCCUUGCCCUGCACAUGAAUAACAGAGUACACCAGUCAUCAUAAGAAGAAAAAUUCACAUUUAAAGUUUGGAAAGCAACAGGACAAAGGUCUGUCUUCAGUGGUGCGUAGACAUGCUCGUGAUUGAAUUGGAAAUAGUUCUCUUUCCUUCUCUCUGACUUCCUAACUGAAAAGCUGCAGCGUGGGGAGAAAGGCUGCUCAGAAGCCUGGAGCCAGAACACGCACCCCGGCUUUUGCAGGGCCGGCUCACUUGGUUAGAAUCAAAGGAAAAGCCUUGUUAUUUGGGAAGCUGGGCGUCCUCACCAAAUUAGGGGAUUUAAUUUGCAGAUAUCUAAGGAGUGCUUUGAAAUGAAAGAUGAACUAAAAUCUGCUCUGAGGCCCGUGAUUUUUCACCAGUGAAGGACUCUCUUGCUGCUGGACAUACAUGAAAAGCAUCAUCUGAUCUGAAACGCAAGUCCCUGCAAGACAGAGGAGAGACUUUAUAAACAUUUUAUACCAUUCUAUGAAAUCAAUUCGAUUCAGGGCUAGAAUUCAAGAAGUAAUCCAUGGGCAAGUAUAUCUGAUGGUAAACCCAAACGAUUAUAUUGUUAACCUCUUGUACUUUUUUUAAUUUUUUAUUAUUUGAUAUUAUUAUCACAAAAGUCGCUGGAACAGGAUCCAUGAGCUGCUUCUUCACUGCUUAGUGUUUUCAGAAGCUGAUGGAUUAUUAAGCUCCAAUUGAAUACUUGAUUUCCAAUGAUUCCAUUAAUUUUUCUGGUUUGUGGUAGGAUUUGAUUUACUUAUUUUGUACUUUAACACACCAAUAAAAAAUAGAUACUAAGAAA
This is a long non-coding RNA of Homo sapiens (human), 1939 nucleotides long. Ensembl annotates it as long intergenic non-protein coding RNA 683. NCBI's taxonomy places the organism in Eukaryota, Metazoa, Chordata, Mammalia, Primates, Hominidae. The record is from Ensembl.